GGUUCUACAAACCCUUAUGUGCAGUUUCUGUUGCGCUGUACACAAGCAAUCUCCGGGAUCAGUCUUCUGGGAUACAUUAAUUGCCUUUGAUCUGGAUUAUGCCUUUCCUAAGACAUGUACCUUCCUAGAGGUGCAAGCCUCAGGAAUCUGACCCAGUGCUGCACCUACCUGAGGUGGAGUUUUUCAGUAGGCAUAAGCCGAUGCCUCUUUAUAUGCCUGCCAAGGAAGCUGGUAGUGCCAUCCACCCUUGAUUUCAUGACUUCAUGCCUGCAGCAGCCCAGCUGGAUUAAGAGAGCUAGAAGUUCUUCACCCUUUUCAACCAGAAAACAACAAAUCCCACAUCUUCUGCGAGUAAUUGUGAUAUUGCAAAUUCCUGCAGUAUUCAUCAGAUACAAAUCAAACUCAAAAGCUUAAUCAGCUCCUGAGACCCACCCCUAUUACACAGGCUGGAGAUUUGCCAGUGAGCCCUGCAGCUUGUUUGCCACCCACUGCUCCCAGCAUGCCUGUACAGACACACCACACGAUGCAGCAGAGUGGAGAGGCUGAAGCUGCACAAUUCUCUCUGAAAUGCUGCUGUUCCCACCCAUCCAUGCACUGUGCUCCCCUCUUGUCUGCAAAGACACAGAGAUCAUCUUGUGGUGGUGGCACUUACAUUUAAUGCCGCUACAGAGAACAUUGAUCCUGUGAAUUCAAUGCCUGAAAAGGUUCAGCAAAAUAUGUUCUGAGGCAAAUUAAUCUGUCUGAAUCAUAUCUAAUCUUUCUGAAGAAACACUUACAUGCUUUGCAUUUAGACAGCCUUGUCUCUGUGUUUUCUCAGUCCAGUGCAUUAUCUAGUUAAGGGUAAGCUUUUAAAUAAGGAAAUGUCUUGCUUGAGAUUAAAGUGCAUUCUGAACAUAAGUUGAAUCAGGUGCUCUUAGAGUUUUUGUUCCUAGGAGGGUAACCAGCAAUUAAAAUAAAAUGAGAUCAUUCAGUGCUCUACAAUGUGUUUAAAUAGAGAUUUUACAGGCCRAGCGUGUAGUCCUUGCACACACAAAGGUAACUUCAAGGAUUUUAGCAAUACCAGCAAAUAGACAUUUUAUCCCAGGAGGACUAGUAAUAAUGUUGACAUUUCAGCCACACAAUAAAGAAGUUCUGUACCCAAAAUAUUAGUCAUAUUAUUUUCCUGGAGUGAAUACAAACAAGUUACAAUUCUGUGUGCAUGACUGAAAUCCCUGGUGUUACUUUGUUAUGCAAAAACCUUUUAGAAUUGACCAUUAAAAUGUCAGAAAAACCUUUUGCAUCCAAAAAAACYUUCUCCUUCUCAGUACAAUGUUAAUUCAAACACAUUUCUAGAAACAAUACUUUUCCAUUCUACAUGUUGGCUAAAAUUAAUUACUGAAUCUCUGUUAAUAAUCCCAUGAUUAAACAAACUUGAGAUGACAGAUGCACAAAACGUACCAAGGCUAAAAACACAGUUAAAAAACAUGAUGCUGUAUGACAAGUUUUUUUUGUAAAGGGAAGAAGAUGGUACACAAAAGCCAGGAUGAUUUAGUGACAAUACAAUUUUCAGUCAUGAGGAUUAGUAACUUUGUAUGUUUUACCCAGUUCCACAUGCUGCAAUGGUUUUAUUGUAUCUUGCAGUGUUUAAGGUCCGCUGUUAAUUCUCAUUGCUAGUCUCCUGAAGAUGAAAGGCACUAAGGAAUUAACUUUAUAAUUAUGAAAUCUCUUUCAUUUUGUAAAUGUUUUCUUGCUCUCAGCUAGAACAUGGGCCAAGAGGUAUGUCCACUGCUCCUUCUCUACAUCAUCUUUUGAAGGGCAAUACCACCAACACCUGGAGGUGGAACUGAAAUGCUUGGGCAGCCAUGUGGAGAUAUCCAUUUCACAUUGCCAACAUUGUCAGAGCAGGAUGGAGAAUCUGGAAGAGGUGAGGAAAGAGACACAAGCCAAGGAAGAUGUGAUAUUUUUGAGUCACCUGAACAUCAAACACAAAAUCUGCAGUGAAGAGAUGCUCCAUCUAAGUACAUAAUCUCUCAGUAUCCUUUCCUUAUGAACUCCUUUCUUCCUUUUCUGUGGCUGGGAAGACACCAGCAGGUAUAGGCAAUGCAAAUUAUCUCUUUUAUUUGUCCUCAGGAAAUUCUCUAUUCUAUUAAGGUUGUUUCAUCUUCAUCUUGAGUUACUGAUACAUCAAGAGAGCCAAGAACCUGGCUCUCAGUAGGUGCACACAGGAGAUUUAUAUAAGCAUGAAGGCAUUUUUACUGGAUUCAGCUUUGCAAAGUUUUGAAGUUCUGUUGCAGAUUCAGCAUCAUAGCUCUUGUGUAUCCAGAAAGAUAAAAUACAGCUGUUCCUCCUUGUUACAGUGCUACUCACAGUUAGAUUUCCCUUACAAAUUGUUCUUAGAACAAUCCUCAUGGAGAACUUUAACUAAGGCAUUCAUGUACAGUAGAAGUCACAAACCUAGGAAAAAUGCCUUUCUAAACACUAUUCAGUCAAGGUAGUUACAAGAAGAGCCCUAAAUGUUUGUUUG
Malurus melanocephalus (red-backed fairy wren) is the source of this 2503-nucleotide long non-coding RNA. RefSeq lists it as uncharacterized. The transcript is spliced from 4 exons. The record is from RefSeq and is a predicted model, not a curated record. NCBI's taxonomy places the organism in Eukaryota, Metazoa, Chordata, Aves, Passeriformes, Maluridae.